RNAcentral lists this ribosomal RNA (482 nucleotides) under uncultured bacterium. RNAcentral describes it as "partial 16S ribosomal RNA". It matches the Rfam family "Bacterial small subunit ribosomal RNA", at positions 30 to 507 of the family's 1533-position model. The record is from RNAcentral.
AUUGAACGCUGGCGGCAUGAUUUACACAUGCAAGUCGAACGGUAACAGGCCGCAAGGUGCUGACGAGUGGCGAACGGGUGAGUAAUGCAUCGGAACGUGCCCAGUCGUGGGGGAUAACUACUCGAAAGAGUAGCUAAUACCGCAUACGAUCUAUGGAUGAAAGCGGGGGACCGUAAGGCCUCGCGCGAUUGGAGCGGCCGAUGUCAGAUUAGGUAGUUGGUGGGGUAAAGGCUCACCAAGCCAACGAUCUGUAGCUGGUCUGAGAGGACGACCAGCCACACUGGAACUGAGACACGGCCCAGACUCCUACGGGAGGCAGCAGUGGGGAAUUUUGGACAAUGGGCGCAAGCCUGAUCCAGCAAUGCCGCGUGCAGGAAGAAGGCCUUCGGGUUGUAAACUGCUUUUGUACGGAACGAAACGGCUCUGGUUAAUACCCGGGGCUAAUGACGGUACCGUAAGAAUAAGCACCGGCUAACUACGUG